Molecule: ribosomal RNA, 226 nt
Filed under: uncultured bacterium
Lineage: Bacteria
Description: partial 16S ribosomal RNA
Rfam family: Bacterial small subunit ribosomal RNA
Source: RNAcentral
CGGAACACGUACAGAACCUUCCUUUAAGCGGGGGAUAGCCCAUAGAAAUGUGGAUUAAUACCCCAUAGUAAUACUAGCUGGCAUCAGUUGGUAUUUAAAGAUUUAUCACUUAAAGAUGGCUGUGCGGCUGAUUAGGUAGUUGGUGCGGGUAACGGCCCACCAAGCCUUCGAUCAGUAACUGGUGUGAGAGCACGACCAGUCACACGGGCACUGAGACACGGGCCCG